Mus pahari (shrew mouse) is the source of this 652-nucleotide RNA transcript. It is a transcript of the gene named glutathione S-transferase P 2 pseudogene, with no coding region annotated. The transcript has a single exon. The record is from RefSeq and is a predicted model, not a curated record. NCBI's taxonomy places the organism in Eukaryota, Metazoa, Chordata, Mammalia, Rodentia, Muridae.
AUGCCACUGUACACCACUGCCUACUUCCCAAGUCGAGGCCAAUGUGAGGCCAUGCGCAUGAGGCCAAAGCUGGAAGGAGGAGGUGGUUACCAUAGAUACCUGGAUACAAGGCUUGCUUAAGCCCACUUGUCUGUAUGGGCAGCUCCCCAAGUUUGAGUUUGGAGACCUUACGCUUUACCAAUCUAAUGACAUCUUGAGGCACCAUGGCCGCUUGUUUUGGGCUUUAUGGGAAAGACCAGAGGGAGGCUGCCCAGGUGAAUAUGGUGAAUGAUGGGGUGGAGGACCUUCGCUGCAAAUAUGGCACCCUGAUCUACACCAACUAUGAGAAUGGUAAGGAUGACUAUGUGAAGGCCCUGCCUGGGCAUCUGAAGACUUUUGAGACCCUGCUGUCCCAAAACCAGGGAGGCAAAGCUUUCAUUGUGGGUGACCAGAUCUCCUUUGCUGAUUACAACUUGCUAGACCUGCUGCUGCUCCACCCUGUCCUGGCCCCUGGCUGCCUGGACAACUUCCCCCUGCUCUCUGCGUAUGUAGCUCGCCUCAGUGUCUGGCCCAAGACCAAGGCCUUUCUGUCCUCCCCUGAACAUGUGACCAGUCCCAUCAAUGGCAAUGGCAAACAGUAGUGGACUGAAGAGACAAGAGCUUCUUGCCCCCU